RNAcentral lists this ribosomal RNA (460 nucleotides) under uncultured bacterium. RNAcentral's name for it is "partial 16S ribosomal RNA". It matches the Rfam family "Bacterial small subunit ribosomal RNA", at positions 338 to 795 of the family's 1533-position model. The record is from RNAcentral.
CCUACGGGGGGCAGCAGUGAGGAAUAUUGGUCAAUGGGCGCGAGCCUGAACCAGCCAAGUCGCGUGAGGGAGGACGGCCCUACGGGUUGUAAACCUCUUUUGCCGGGGAGCAACGGGCGCCACGUGUGGCGUCACUGAGAGUACCCGGAGAAAAAGCAGCGGCUAACUCCGUGCCAGCAGCCGCGGUAAUACGGAGGAUGCGAGCGUGAGCAGGAUUUAUUGGGUUGAAAGGGUGCGUAGGCGGAUCGUUAAGUCAGUGGUCAAAUUGCGGGGCUCAACCCCUUCCCGCCAUUGAAACUGGCGUUCUUGAGUGGAAGAGAAGUAUGCGGAAUGCGUGGUGUAGCGGUGAAAUGCCUCGAUCUCACGCAGAACCCCGAUUGCGAAGGCAGCAUGCCGGCUUCCGACUGACGCUGACGCACGAAAGCGUGGGGAUCGAACAGGAUUAGAUACCCGUGUAGUC